This 80-nucleotide small nucleolar RNA is filed under the name Genlisea aurea. RNAcentral's name for it is "Small nucleolar RNA R12". It matches the Rfam family "Small nucleolar RNA R12". Rfam says of the family: snoR12 is a C/D box small nucleolar RNA, which acts as a methylation guide for 25S ribosomal RNA in plants. snoR12 has been alternatively named snoZ44 in Arabidopsis and snoZ131 in rice. Lineage: Eukaryota; Viridiplantae; Streptophyta; Magnoliopsida; Lamiales; Lentibulariaceae. The record is from Rfam by way of RNAcentral.
UUGGGGAUGAAGAACAAAAUCAGACGGAUUCCCACUGAGUUUUGUCUGUGAUAUGAAAUAACCAGCUACUUCUGACCCAA